RNAcentral lists this transfer RNA (77 nucleotides) under Flammeovirga pacifica. RNAcentral describes it as "tRNA-Asp". It matches the Rfam family "tRNA". From Rfam's summary of the family: Transfer RNA (tRNA) molecules are approximately 80 nucleotides in length. Their secondary structure includes four short double-helical elements and three loops (D, anti-codon, and T loops). The record is from RNAcentral. Lineage: Bacteria; Pseudomonadati; Bacteroidota; Cytophagia; Cytophagales; Flammeovirgaceae.
GGAGCAGUAGUUCAGUUGGUUAGAAUACCUGCCUGUCACGCCGGGGGUCGCGGGUUCGAGUCCCGUCUGUUCCGCCA